Molecule: ribosomal RNA, 735 nt
Filed under: bacterium EJ10-18
Lineage: Bacteria
Description: bacterial SSU rRNA
Rfam family: Bacterial small subunit ribosomal RNA
Source: RNAcentral
UUACACAUGCAAGUCGAACGAUGAUGCCCACUUGUGGGUGGAUUAGUGGCGAACGGGUGAGUAACACGUGAGUAACCUGCCCUUAACUCUGGGAUAAGCCUGGGAAACUGGGUCUAAUACCGGAUAUGACUCCUCAUCGCAUGGUGGGGGGUGGAAAGCUUUUUGUGGUUUUGGAUGGACUCGCGGCCUAUCAGCUUGUUGGUGAGGUAAUGGCUCACCAAGGCGACGACGGGUAGCCGGCCUGAGAGGGUGACCGGCCACACUGGGACUGAGACACGGCCCAGACUCCUACGGGAGGCAGCAGUGGGGAAUAUUGCACAAUGGGCGAAAGCCUGAUGCAGCGACGCCGCGUGAGGGAUGACGGCCUUCGGGUUGUAAACCUCUUUCAGUAGGGAAGAAGCGAAAGUGACGGUACCUGCAGAAGAAGCGCCGGCUAACUACGUGCCAGCAGCCGCGGUAAUACGUAGGGCGCAAGCGUUAUCCGGAAUUAUUGGGCGUAAAGAGCUCGUAGGCGGUUUGUCGCGUCUGCCGUGAAAGUCCGGGGCUCAACUCCGGAUCUGCGGUGGGUACGGGCAGACUAGAGUGAUGUAGGGGAGACUGGAAUUCCUGGUGUAGCGGUGAAAUGCGCAGAUAUCAGGAGGAACACCGAUGGCGAAGGCAGGUCUCUGGGCAUUAACUGACGCUGAGGAGCGAAAGCAUGGGGAGCGAACAGGAUUAGAUACCCUGGUAGUCCAU